RNAcentral lists this ribosomal RNA (519 nucleotides) under uncultured bacterium. Its description in RNAcentral is "bacterial SSU rRNA". It matches the Rfam family "Archaeal small subunit ribosomal RNA", at positions 345 to 866 of the family's 1478-position model. The record is from RNAcentral.
AACCUCCGCAAUGCGAGAAAUCGCGACGGGGGGACCCCAAGUGCCACUCUUAACGGGGUGGCUUUUCUUAAGUGUAAAAGCUUUUGGAAUAAGGGCUGGGCAAGACCGGUGCCAGCCGCCGCGGUAACACCGGCAGCUCUAGUGGUAGCCAUUUUUAUUGGGCCUAAAGCGUUCGUAGCCGGUUUGAUAAGUCUCUGGUGAAAUCCUGUAGCUUAACUGUGGGAAUUGCUGGAGAUACUAUUAGACUUGAGGUCGGGAGAGGUUAGCGGUACUCCCAGGGUAGGGGUGAAAUCCUGUAAUCCUGGGAGGACCACCUGUGGCGAAGGCGGCUAACUGGAACGAACCUGACGGUGAGGGACGAAAGCCAGGGGCGCGAACCGGAUUAGAUACCCGGGUAGUCCUGGCCGUAAACGAUGUGGACUUGGUGUUGGGAUGGCUUCGAGCUGUUUCAGUGCCGAAGGGAAGCUGUUAAGUCCACCGCCUGGGAAGUACGGUCGCAAGACUGAAACUUAAGGAAUU